Molecule: ribosomal RNA, 266 nt
Filed under: uncultured bacterium
Lineage: Bacteria
Description: partial 16S ribosomal RNA
Rfam family: Bacterial small subunit ribosomal RNA
Source: RNAcentral
AAAUGCCUACGGGAGGCAGCAGUGAGGAAUAUUGGUCAAUGGGAGAGAUCCUGAACCAGCCAAGCCGCGUGAGGGAAGACGGCCCUAUGGGUUGUAAACCUCUUUUGUCGGAGAACAAAACCCGGGACGUGUCCCGGACUGCGUGUAUCCGAAGAAAAAGCAUCGGCUAACUCCGUGCCAGAAGGCGCGGGGAUACGGAGGAUGCGAGCGUUAUCCGGAUUUAUUGGGUGUAAAGGGUGCGUAGGCGGGCGGUUAAGUCAGCGGUA